GAUGAACGCAGGCGGCGUGCCUAAUACCUGCAAGUCGAACGAAACUUCUUUAUCAAUGACUGCUUGCACUCCCCGAUACACAGUUGAGUGGCGAACGGGCGAGUAACACGUUGGCAACCUGUCCAACAGGGGGGGAUAACACUCGGACACAGGAGCUACUACCCCAUACACAUGCUUACCGCACGGUAACCCCGCCAAAGGUGGCCAUUCUACCGCAGUUGGAUGGGCCCCAGGCGCAUUAGCUACGUGGUCGGGUAACGGCUUACUAAGGCAAUGAUGCGUAGCCGACUUAGGAGGUUGAUCGGCCACAGUGGGACUGAGACACGUCCCAAACUCCCACGGGAGGCAGCAGUAGGGAAUCUUCCACAAUGGGCGAAAGCCUGAUGCAGCAACGCCGCGUGAGUGAAGAAGGUCCUCGGUGCGGAAAGCCCUGUUGUUAGAGAAGAAAGUCCGUGAGAGUAACUGUUCACGUUUCGACGGUAGCUAACCAGAAAGCCACGGCUAACUACGUG
This 512-nucleotide ribosomal RNA is filed under the name uncultured bacterium. RNAcentral's name for it is "partial 16S ribosomal RNA". It matches the Rfam family "Bacterial small subunit ribosomal RNA", at positions 28 to 507 of the family's 1533-position model. The record is from RNAcentral.